GACGAACGCUGGCGGCGUGCUUAACACAUGCAAGUCGUACGGUAAGGCCCUUUCGGGGGUACACGAGUGGCGAACGGGCGAGUAACACGUGCGUAACCUGCCCACAACUUUGGGAUAACGCUAGGAAACUGGUGCUAAUACUGGAUAUGUGCUCCUGCUGCAUGGUGGGGGUUGGAAAGCUCCGGCGGUUGUGGAUGGACUCGCGGCCUAUCAGCUUGUUGGUGGGGUAGUGGCCUACCAAGGCGGCGACGGGUAGCCGGCCUGAGAGGGUGACCGGCCACAGUGGGACUGAGAUACGGCCCAGACUCCGACGGGAGGCAGCAGGGGGGAAUAUUGCACAAUGGGCGCAAGCCUGAUGCAGCAACGCCGCGGGCGGGAUGACGGCCUUCGGGUUGUAAACCGCGUUCAGCAGGGACGAAGCUUUUUGUGACGGUACCUGCAGAAGAAGCACCGGCUAACUACGUG
This 465-nucleotide ribosomal RNA is filed under the name uncultured bacterium. Its description in RNAcentral is "partial 16S ribosomal RNA". It matches the Rfam family "Bacterial small subunit ribosomal RNA", at positions 28 to 507 of the family's 1533-position model. The record is from RNAcentral.